Molecule: long non-coding RNA, 1514 nt
Filed under: Gossypium barbadense (sea-island cotton)
Lineage: Eukaryota; Viridiplantae; Streptophyta; Magnoliopsida; Malvales; Malvaceae
Description: long non-coding RNA (GBAR_LNC002950)
Source: RNAcentral
UCCCAUGUUGUAACUCUAGGUAUAAAUUGUAUUUUAUUUUCUGUUCAGCCUUUUUUGAUAAUUUUUUCCCUCUCCUGUUGCUGCCCCUCUUCUCUUUUCUCAUUUUCCCCAAUUUUCUUUUCCUUUCUUUUUUUUUCAUUUUGCCGCCCCUACGUCUCAAUUUUCUCCCAUACUCUUCUUCUUUCUUACAUUACGUCUCAAUUUUCUCCCAUACUCUUCUUCUUUCUUACAUUGUUGUUGCCGCUUUAGUGAACAACCACCAUUGUUGUAGUCGUCCAUUAGAGAUCUCCCACCCUCUCUUUGUUUUCUUUCUUUUUCCUAUGAUGGCUAAAUACUACAGGGUCUAUGGUCGAAUUUCUCAUGUGCUAAUUUCAUGAAUUUUUCUUUGUCAAAGGUCUAGACUUGAAUUUCCUCAGAUCUCCAGUGAAGUUUGAGGCCGUACGCAUCUUUCAUUUGAUCAUUAUAAGUGUAAGUGAUCUUGGAAACUUAGAUAUGAAAUUUUGGUUUGUUUCCCUGAUUUGGCCGAGCCCUAUAGGGGUGUUUUAUGGUUGAUUCUGACGUGUAAUUUCUUCGUGUUAGGUACAAAUCUAAACAGGAUUUAGUCAGAUAUGAGACAUAGGAGUUGUGGAUUAGUUUUAGUGCUUCAGAUUGUGUUUUCAGGUGUGGUUCUUAAAUUUGGGUGUAUUGGUGAUUAUUGAAAGUAUGUGUUAUGUAUGGCCUUGCGUCAGAUAAGGGAUUGCCGAACAUGGUAAGUGUUAAGAAGCGAUGGUUGAAUGUUUAAGGUCCUUUAAUUAUGGUUAAUUGAGUGUGUAAGUGUCAUAUGUAUUAUCUGAUUGUAUGUCUAUUGGGAUGUAUGAUGUGUUAUUAUUUAUUGUUUACAUGUAAAAGCAUGCCACUGAUUUUUACUGUACAUACCAAUUGCAUGUAAAACAUGUCACUGAUACUGAUAAGCUAAAAGCAUGUUAAGCAUGCCACUGUUAUUGAUAUUGUCAAUGACUAGCAUGAUAUGCUACAUUAUUGGUAAGACAUAUUGUAUUGGAUGGGGAUUGGGGAUUGAUUGGUGAUGGAGGAGUUUUGUAGAGUCGGAUAGUUUAUUCGCAUUAUUACACUAGCAGUUAAUCUGCAACCUUUGGAGUACUAGCGGUUUAUCCGCAACUUACUAGCAGUUUGUCUGCCAAUUAUUGACUAUUUAACUACAAAUUAUUACUGGUGGUUCAUUCACAUUGAACUACGACUGUGUAUCAGAUGACGAGUAUUGGAAACUCGUAGUUUAUAGUGGAUGGAUGGGUAGGAUCUAUGCACUGUUUCAUAUAUGCAUGUCAUGUAAAAAAAUUGUAAUAUUAAGGACUGUGAUGUCUUGAUUUACUGUAUGUUUUUUUUUUUUUAUAAUGAUAGUUGUAUGCUUCACUAAUUGUUUGUAUGUCUAUACAUUGUUUACAUAUACAUUGUUUACAUAUGUUUAGACUCACAUUAAGCUUUUCAAGCUCACCCAUUUAAUUUACUUAUUACUGAUA